This 52-nucleotide small RNA is filed under the name Drosophila melanogaster (fruit fly). Its description in RNAcentral is "small non-coding RNA 400 (Dmel_CR33699)". Lineage: Eukaryota; Metazoa; Arthropoda; Insecta; Diptera; Drosophilidae. The record is from RNAcentral.
CAACAUUCUCGGAAGCGAGCGCACCCAGCGACCUUUUAAGCGCGUCUGCCCU